Pongo pygmaeus (Bornean orangutan) is the source of this 269-nucleotide long non-coding RNA. RefSeq lists it as uncharacterized. The record is from RefSeq and is a predicted model, not a curated record. The transcript has 3 exons. NCBI's taxonomy places the organism in Eukaryota, Metazoa, Chordata, Mammalia, Primates, Hominidae.
GCCAAGAUGGCCGAAUAGGAACAGCUCCGGUCUACAGCUCCCAGCGCGAGCCACGCAGAGACGGGUGAUUUCUGCAUUUCCAUCUGAGGGAAGCAGUGGCCCUGUCUAUUAGAGAGAAAGGAACUCUAGAGGGUGGAAAAGAAUAGGAAACACCUGAAUGUCAUAAAAGACCACUUGGAAACUGGCAGCUAUGAGAUGCAGAGCUCUGGAAUGGUCUUUGGAGUCAGCAGAACUGCGUUCCCAUCCUGGCAAUGCCACUUACACCCAGG